UACGAAGGGGGCGAGCGUUGUUCGGAUUUACUGGGCGUAAAGGGCGCGCAGGCGGCGCAUUUUGUCAGGCGUGAAAGCCCCGGGCUUAACCUGGGAACUGCGUUUGAUACGGAUGGGCUAGAGUUCGGGAGAGGAGAGUGGAAUUCCCAGUGUAGAGGUGAAAUACGUAGAUAUCUGGAGGAACACCGGUGGCGAAGGCGGCAUCCUGGACCGGUAUUGACGCUGAGGCGCGAAAGCCAGGGGAGCAAACGGG
This 253-nucleotide ribosomal RNA is filed under the name uncultured bacterium. RNAcentral describes it as "partial 16S ribosomal RNA". It matches the Rfam family "Bacterial small subunit ribosomal RNA", at positions 524 to 776 of the family's 1533-position model. The record is from RNAcentral.